CAUUAAGAAGCUUUCACGUAAGCAAUAG
This 28-nucleotide transfer RNA is filed under the name Bolitoglossa alberchi. Its description in RNAcentral is "partial tRNA-Lys". Lineage: Eukaryota; Metazoa; Chordata; Amphibia; Caudata; Plethodontidae. The record is from RNAcentral.